Molecule: ribosomal RNA, 688 nt
Filed under: uncultured bacterium
Lineage: Bacteria
Description: bacterial SSU rRNA
Rfam family: Bacterial small subunit ribosomal RNA
Source: RNAcentral
GGCGGACGGGUGAGUAACGCGUGAGCAACCUGCCUUCCACAGGGGGAUAACGUACCGAAAGGUACACUAAUACCGCAUGAGACCACGGUACCGAUGGUACAGGGGUCAAAGGAGGAAUCCGGUGGGAGAUGGGCUCGCGUCCGAUUAGGUAGUUGGCGGGGUAAUGGCCCACCAAGCCUAUGAUCGGUAGCCGGCCUGAGAGGGUGAACGGCCACAUUGGAACUGAGAGACGGUCCAAACUCCUACGGGAGGCAGCAGUGGGGAAUAUUGGGCAAUGGGGGGAACCCUGACCCAGCAACGCCGCGUGAGGGAAGAAGGUUUUCGGAUUGUAAACCUCUGUUCUUGGAGAAGAGUGUAAGACGGUAUCCAAGGAGGAAGCCCCGGCUAACUACGUGCCAGCAGCCGCGGUAAUACGUAGGGGGCGAGCGUUGUCCGGAAUGAUUGGGCGUAAAGGGCGCGCAGGCGGCCCGACAAGUCAGUAGUGGAAGUCCAUUUUUCAAGGGUGGAAGUGCUAUUGAAACUGUAGGGCUUGAGUGCGGGAGAGGUUAUCGGAAUUCCCGGUGUAGCGGUGAAAUGCGUAGAGAUCGGGAGGAACACCAGUGGCGAAGGCGGGUAACUGGACCGCAACUGACGCUGAGGCGCGAAAGUGUGGGGAGCGAACGGGAUUAGAUACCCUGGUAGUCCACAC